ACAGAAUCUCAAGCGCCUGGACCGGCCUUCGGCCGGUUGACGAGGAAGGGGUUUAUCGAGUUUUUCGGCGGGUGCCCCUCGGUGGCCCACCACCGUGAGGAUGCCUUGAAAAGCGGAGAGCAAUCCCCGUGACAAAGGGGUAUCCGGUGGGUGAA
Molecule: non-coding RNA, 155 nt
Filed under: Thermacetogenium phaeum
Lineage: Bacteria; Bacillati; Bacillota; Clostridia; Thermoanaerobacterales; Thermoanaerobacteraceae
Also listed under: 1 other name
Description: GlcN6P sequence
Rfam family: glmS glucosamine-6-phosphate activated ribozyme aptamer
About the family: This entry contains a glucosamine-6-phosphate activated ribozyme that is found in the mRNA for GlmS.
Source: RNAcentral